CGACCGCAAGGAGGACUCCGCCCGGACUCCUAUGGGAGCCGGGCUCCAUCACCAACUUCAACCGCUCGGACUCCUACGGGAGUCGGGCUCCAUCCACGACUUCGAUCGCAAGGAGGACUCCGCCCGGACUCCUACGGGAGCCGGGCUCCGUCACCAACUUCAACCGCUGGUAAGCUCCGUCCAGACUCCUACGGGAGCUGGGCUCCGCACCUGACUUUAAUUACAGGAAGACUCCGCUCAGACUCC
Molecule: long non-coding RNA, 246 nt
Filed under: Elaeis guineensis (African oil palm)
Lineage: Eukaryota; Viridiplantae; Streptophyta; Magnoliopsida; Arecales; Arecaceae
Description: long non-coding RNA (EGUI_LNC073308)
Source: RNAcentral